RNAcentral lists this ribosomal RNA (462 nucleotides) under Pantoea sp. iCTE662. Its description in RNAcentral is "bacterial SSU rRNA". It matches the Rfam family "Bacterial small subunit ribosomal RNA", at positions 8 to 468 of the family's 1533-position model. Lineage: Bacteria; Pseudomonadati; Pseudomonadota; Gammaproteobacteria; Enterobacterales; Erwiniaceae. The record is from RNAcentral.
AGAGUUUGAUCCUGGCUCAGAUAGAACGCUGGCGGCAGGCAUAACACAUACAAGUCGGACGGUAGCACAGAGAGCUUGCUCUUGGGUGACGAGUGGCGGACGGGUGAGUAAUGUCUGGGGAUCUGCCCGAUAGAGGGGGAUAACCACUGGAAACGGUGGCUAAUACCGCAUAACGUCGCAAGACCAAAGAGGGGGACCUUCGGGCCUCUCACUAUCGGAUGAACCCAGAUGGGAUUAGCUAGUAGGCGGGGUAAUGGCCCACCUAGGCGACGAUCCCUAGCUGGUCUGAGAGGAUGACCAGCCACACUGGAACUGAGACACGGUCCAGACUCCUACGGGAGGCAGCAGUGGGGAAUAUUGCACAAUGGGCGCAAGCCUGAUGCAGCCAUGCCGCGUGUAUGAAGAAGGCCUUCGGGUUGUAAAGUACUUUCAGCGGGGAGGAAGGCGAUGCGGUUAAUAACC